Molecule: long non-coding RNA, 607 nt
Organism: Pseudophryne corroboree (corroboree frog)
Lineage: Eukaryota; Metazoa; Chordata; Amphibia; Anura; Myobatrachidae
Exons: 3
Source: RefSeq, a predicted model, not a curated record
AGUCUCCAUCCAGGCCCCCUUCUCUCUAGCCAGCAGCACUGAACACUAGUAGACUCUGGCACUGGGCAAGAGGCUACUAGGCAUGCACAUGUCUCCAGGAAAAUGGAGCUGCGCCCAUUUUCCUGAUGAUUCCCCUACUUCAUAUGUGCAAAACCCUCCACUCCACUUUCCAGGUGACUUUGCAGUGCUGCUGCUGCCGGCGCGGGACUCCAGAACUGUAACUCUUGAAGAAAUGGGUGUACAGUGUGCGGCAUGGACCCCCCUGGACCCAGAGGCCCUGCACCCAUUAUAAAUUCGCCAGAGUCUGGUUGCUAUGGUUACCAAGUCCCAACCCCUGAACGCUUGCUGGACGGGCCGGGAGCUUGUAAUUUCCGGAGGUCGGACGAGACAUGACCGGAAGUCGGGCAGCGUGGAUGGCGGUGACGGAAGGACCAUAUGCUCUUAAGCACCAACGGAAUGAAGACACAUUUCUCAGAACACUGUGUCUGAAGCAUGAAUGGCACAUGAUGAGAUAAAAGCAGAUUGCAGCUGCAGAAUGAACAGCUCGGAAUGGAAUCCUGCUUUAAUGUAACAAUUCUGUGCAUCAUUGAUAUUCUCUUUACAUCAA